CCUGGCCUCACCAGUCUCGGAGGCGGUCUCCACCUUCGCUGGGUCGGACCAGGCGCUCCAGGGGCCGUGAGAAAGGGAAUAAGGGAUUUGCGGGAAGGGAGACCCUGCCCAGAGGUGCCCCGCCCCUGCUGAGCUCACUGGAAUCCCCAAAUAUGCUCUUGCAUGGCCUCCCUGCCCGGAGGAUAUAGACCCAUGUCCUCGGCGCUGCCUGAGAGGCCCGGCGUGGCCCGGCCUCCCUCUCCUCUCCUCUCACAGAGCUGAGUUCUCCUUCCUUCCAGCCACACGGAACUAUCUGCAGCUCCUGAACAUAACACGCGUCACAGGUGCCGUUUCCUGUGCCAGGAUCGAUUCCUCUGGUGAACUUCUGCUUCCUCUUCAUGGCCCAGAUAAAAACGUCAGUUUCUCUGGAAAACUUUCCUGCCCCAACUCCUGUUUAAGUGUUCCCCAGGUCCCCUCUGUCUCUCAGAGCACAUCCACUGUAUUUUGUUGUUUACAUAUCUGUCCCCAUCAGGGACAACAUU
This is a non-coding RNA of Microcebus murinus (gray mouse lemur), 521 nucleotides long. NCBI's taxonomy places the organism in Eukaryota, Metazoa, Chordata, Mammalia, Primates, Cheirogaleidae. The record is from RefSeq and is a predicted model, not a curated record.